RNAcentral lists this ribosomal RNA (79 nucleotides) under Paenibacillus campinasensis. The record is from RNAcentral. Lineage: Bacteria; Bacillati; Bacillota; Bacilli; Caryophanales; Paenibacillaceae.
UUUGGUGAUGAUGGCGGAAGGGUUCCACGCGUACCCAUACCGAACACGACCGUUAAGCCUUCCAGCGCCGAUGGUACUU